UACAUAAGGAGCAAGCGUUGUCCGGAAUUAUUGGGUGUAAAGAGCUCGUAGGCGGUAUCGAAAGUCAGCUGUGAAAUCACCAGGCUCAACCUGGUAGGGCCAGCUGAAACUUCGGUACUUGAGGGGUAGAAGAGGCAGGCGGAAUUCGUUGUGUAGCGGUGAAAUACUUAGAUAUGACGAGGAACUCCUAUUGCGAAGGCAGCUUGCUGGGUCGUUACUGACGCUGAUGCUCGAAGGUGCGGGGAUCAAACAGGAUUAGA
Molecule: ribosomal RNA, 260 nt
Filed under: uncultured prokaryote
Description: partial 16S ribosomal RNA
Rfam family: Bacterial small subunit ribosomal RNA
Source: RNAcentral